GGGUAACCUGCCCAAGAUAUCGGGAUAACAACCUGGAAACAGAUGCUAAUACCGGAUAACAACAGAUGAUGCCUAUCAACUGUUUAAAAGAUGGUUCUGCUAUCACUCUUGGAUGGACCUGCGGUGCAUUAGCUAGUUGGUAGGGUAACGGCCUACCAAGGCGAUGAUGCAUAGCCGAGUUGAGAGACUGAUCGGCCACAUUGGGACUGAGACACGGCCCAAACUCCUACGGGAGGCAGCAGGC
This 244-nucleotide ribosomal RNA is filed under the name uncultured Lactobacillus sp. RNAcentral's name for it is "partial 16S ribosomal RNA". It matches the Rfam family "Bacterial small subunit ribosomal RNA", at positions 119 to 354 of the family's 1533-position model. The record is from RNAcentral. Lineage: Bacteria; Bacillati; Bacillota; Bacilli; Lactobacillales; Lactobacillaceae.